GCGACUCUCUGUCUGUUACUGACGCUGAGGCUCGAAAGCGUGGGGAGCAAACAGGAUUAGAUACCUGGUAGUCCACGCCGUAAACGAUGAGUGCUAAGUGUUAGGGGGUUUCCCCCCUUAGUGCUGCAGCUAACGCAUUAAGCACUCCGCUGGGGAGUACGACCGCAAGGUUGAAACUCAAAGGAAUUGACGGGGGCCCGCACAAGCGGUGGAGCAUGUGGUUUAAUUCGAAGCAACGCGAAGAACCUUACCAGGUCUUGACAUCCUUUGACAACUCUAGAGAUAGAGCUUUCCCUUCGGGGACAAAGUGACAGGUGGUGCAUGGUUGUCGUCAGCUCGUGUCGUGAGAUGUUGGGUUAAGUCCCGCAACGAGCGCAACCCUUAUUGUUAGUUGCCAUCAUUCAGUUGGGCACUCUAGCGAAACUGCCGGUGACAAACCGGAGGAAGGUGGGGAUGACGUCAAAUCAUCAUGCCCCUUAUGACCUGGGCUACACACGUGCUACAAUGGACAGUACAAUGAGCAGCGACACGGCGACGUGAAGCGAAUCUCAUAAAGCUGUUCUCAGUUCGGAUUGUAGGCUGCAACUCGCCUACAUGAAGCCGGAAUCGCUAGUAAUCGCGGAUCAGCACGCCGCGGUGAAUACGUUCCCGGGCCUUGUACACACCGCCCGUCACACCACGAAAGUUUGUAACACCCAAAGUCGGUGAGGUAACCUUCGGGAGCCAGCCGCCUAAGGUGGGAUAGAUGAUUGGGGUGAAGUCGUAACAAGGUAACCA
Molecule: ribosomal RNA, 777 nt
Filed under: uncultured Vagococcus sp.
Lineage: Bacteria; Bacillati; Bacillota; Bacilli; Lactobacillales; Enterococcaceae
Description: bacterial SSU rRNA
Rfam family: Bacterial small subunit ribosomal RNA
Source: RNAcentral